GCCUACGGGCGCAGCAGUGAGGAAUAUUGGUCAAUGGGCUUACGCCUGAACCAGCCAAGUCGCGUGAGGGAAGACUGCCCUAUGGGUUGUAAACCUCUUUUGUCAGGGAGCAACGCCGGCUACGUGUAGCCGGACUGAGAGUACCUGAAGAAAAAGCAUCGGCUAACUCCGUGCCAGCAGCCGCGGUAAUACGGAGGAUGCGAGCGUUAUCCGGAUUUACUGGGUGUAAAGGGGGCGCAGACGGCAAUGCAAGCCAGGAGUGAAAGCCCGGGGCCCAACCCCGGGACUGCUCUUGGAACUGCAUG
This 305-nucleotide ribosomal RNA is filed under the name uncultured bacterium. RNAcentral describes it as "bacterial SSU rRNA". It matches the Rfam family "Bacterial small subunit ribosomal RNA", at positions 337 to 639 of the family's 1533-position model. The record is from RNAcentral.